Hibiscus syriacus is the source of this 588-nucleotide long non-coding RNA. RefSeq lists it as uncharacterized. The transcript has 2 exons. Lineage: Eukaryota; Viridiplantae; Streptophyta; Magnoliopsida; Malvales; Malvaceae. The record is from RefSeq and is a predicted model, not a curated record.
GUAUCACUUCUGCAUGCUCACCUCUUGCUGCAUGAUGAAGAGGCUGAUGCAAAGGAACACAGAAUAGCCGUAAACAAGAAUUAUUAUAUGUUAAAAGCAGCUCUUCUUUUUAUAUGAACAAACAAUCGGUUUUCAGGUCAGUCAUUAUGGGUUUACUUGUUCAGCCCAUUUUGGAUUUGGACUAUUUCAAGCUCAAACCAAUUCAGGUCUAGGUUUGGUUGUUGAUUUUUUAUGGUCAAAACGGUCGGGUUUUCGGUUUUGUCAAGCAAGUGGGAGAAGAGUGCCAAAUCGAUUCCCAUUUUCAUUUAGUAAAUAAUUGACCAAGGUGCAAUUGAAUGAGAAACAAAUCAGAAUCAAUUGAAAUGAAUCAAAUUAGCUUUAGAGCCUAAUCAACAUCAAGCAAAUAAACUGAACAUACAGGCAUUAGAAUUCAAAAUGGUUCGAGGGCCAUUAGUAUGAAGUACUCACAGUAUCACCUUCGGCAUCAACUGAAUCUAGUAUUCUUUUCAGACAUCCACUGUCAGUGGCUCUGUCAAGUAGAAGUUGCACUAUCUCGACAAAUCCUGAAAACAUCGAUUGGGAAAGAAA